RNAcentral lists this ribosomal RNA (456 nucleotides) under uncultured bacterium. Its description in RNAcentral is "bacterial SSU rRNA". It matches the Rfam family "Bacterial small subunit ribosomal RNA", at positions 340 to 786 of the family's 1533-position model. The record is from RNAcentral.
UACGGAAGGCAGCAGUGGGGAAUAUUGCACAAUGGGCGCAAGCCUGAUGCAGCCAUGCCGCGUGUAUGAAGAAGGCCUUCGGGUUGUAAAGUACUUUCAGUCGUGAGGAAGGUGUUAAGGUUAAUAACCUUAGCAAUUGACGUUAGCGACAGAAGAAGCACCGGCUAACUCCGUGCCAGCAGCCGCGGUAAUACGGAGGGUGCGAGCGUUAAUCGGAAUUACUGGGCGUAAAGGGCACGCAGGCGGUUAAUUAAGUUGGAUGUGAAAAUCCCCGGGCUUAACCUGGGAAUGGCAUUCAAGACUGGUUAGCUAGAGUCUUGUAGAGGGGGUAGAAUUCCAUGUGUAGCGGUGAAAUGCGUAGAGAUGUGGAGGAAUACCGGUGGCGAAGGCGGCCCCUGGGACAAAGACUGACGCUCAUGUGCGAAAAGCGUGGGGAGCAAAACAGGAUUAGAUACC